AUGGCCGCCGCCGCCACCGCCGUCCGCUUCCACACGGCCGCCGCGCGACGCGCCGCCCCUCGCCGACCGGCGCGCUUCGCCGUGCGCGCGGAUGCCGCGCAGGCGGCGACGGCGCUGACGCAGGAUGACCUCAAGAGGCUUGCGGCGGUGCGUGCGGUGGAGCAGGUGCAGAGUGGUAUGGUUCUGGGGCUCGGGACAGGCUCCACGGCCGCCUUUGCCGUCGCCGAGAUCGGUGCGCUUCUUGCCAACGGGAAGCUCUCCGGCAUCGUCGGUGUGCCCACUUCCAAGCGCACCUUUGAGCAGGCCAUGUCCCUGGGAAUCCCUCUUUCCACGCUCGACGACCACCCCGUGAUCGACCUCGCCAUUGACGGCGCUGACGAGGUUGAUCCAGAUCUUAACCUUGUGAAAGGGCGGGGUGGAGCCCUUCUCCGGGAGAAGAUGGUCGAAGCUGCAUCAGGAAAGUUUGUUGUUGUCGUUGAUGAGACGAAACUAGUUACUGGCCUAGGAGGGAGCGGUCUUGCCAUGCCUGUGGAAGUUGUGCAGUUCUGCUGGAAGUACAAUCAAGUAAGACUGCAGGGUCUGUUCAAUGAAGAAGGUUGCGAGGCAAAGCUGAGAUUGAAUGAGGAUGACAAGCCCUAUGUUACUGACAACUCGAACUACAUCGUAGAUUUAUACUUCAAGACGCCAAUCAAGGAUGCGUUGGGCGCGGGCAAGGAGAUUGCAACUUUGGAAGGAGUUGUUGAGCAUGGGUUGUUCUUGAACAUGGCAAGCUCAGUGAUCAUUGCUGGAUCAGACGGUGUCAGUGUCAAAACAAAGUGA
RNAcentral lists this ribosomal RNA (819 nucleotides) under Triticum aestivum (bread wheat). RNAcentral describes it as "partial small subunit ribosomal RNA". The record is from RNAcentral. Lineage: Eukaryota; Viridiplantae; Streptophyta; Magnoliopsida; Poales; Poaceae.